UUAUUUGAACUGAUUUGGUUCACUCUUCUAUGUUUUUCGUUCCAAAAUUACGCACCAAAUUUAUGGAUAUUGGAUAAUCGUAUCAGGCAAAUUUCGUACCAAACCAGAUUUUCCCAAUCCCGCUUGAACGAGACGGAUUUACCAAAUUCGAUUGAUUUUGCAAGGAGUCCCCAAGAAUAACCCUGUAAAAAGAACGCAUCUCGGCUCUGAAAGAAAAAAAACCACUACGCUCCUCCUCCUCCUCGAUGGAUCAAAUUUGUCAAUCACCUUCCAUCUAGCUUGCCAACUGACUUCUUCCAGCAGGCUCAUUGAUGUCGAUCUUCUCUCCCCCGAGAUUGUUGUCGAUCGUUGUCCCUUCAGGUAAUCGUUAGUCGUGACUCACCCCUAAACCAAGCUCGAUCAUCAUCUUCUAUUUCAGGUAAUCAUCCUUUUUACUUCCUUCUUUGUUUCUUCUUCUAGGUUCGUAUAUAUUGACGAUUAGAGUAGGUUUCUAGGUUUUGCAAUUUCAUCAAAUUUUUAUGGUUUUGGGUUUUGAUUUAGGGUUUUCUGAUUUGGGUUCUAGUUAGGAUUUUUUAUUUGAGUUCUGAUAUAGGUUUUUCGAUUUAGGGUUUUGAUUUUAUGGUUUGUUUUGAUUAAACAACACCAAUGUUUCUUCUUUGUGACUUUGAUGUCAGUAUAAUCAAAUUUCUCAUUUCUGUCAACAUUGUAAUGUGCUUUUUUCAUGUUGGCUGACUUGUUUUGCUGAUAUCAUUUUGGUGUUGGCUGUUUUGCUUUAUGAUGAUGCAGAUAGGCUACAGAUUCUGCUAACACAAUGAAAAAUUCUUAUCAACACUUCUUGAUCAGUUAUCCCAAACUUACUUCUAGGAAAGAAGAGAAAAUAAUGACAAGAAGAGUAAACAUUGAAUCACAAACAGACGUUGUCGAUUGAUGGUCAUCGAAGAAGAUUAUCGUCGAUUGAUAGAACGAGAUCGACAGACUCAACUCAAGGGAAGGGUCUGCAGUUUUUGUUAAACUGAAAGGGAAGGGUCUGCAUUUUCAAUUACCAAUGGUGUUUGCGUUUUUUAUAAGAUAGAGGAUGAGGCUAGGGGUUUUAAGGAUAGUUUGGUCAUUUUUAUAACUUAAAUCAAUUUCAAUAACACAAAAUUUAAUGAAAAACAUGAAAUUUAAUUACAUAAAAAUUGGGGAUUCCCCUCAAUUUUAAUUUCGACGAAUUGGGAAUUUCCCCUAUUUAUAAAAUCUUAGUGGAAAACUAUUCCUAAAUUUAGUGCAAAAUUUUAAAUAAUUAAAAAUUGAAAUAACAUAAAAUAAUUCAAAUUAAUUUAUAUCAACAUCUAGUCAAAUCGUUAGUGUUUGUGUUCACCUCACAAAUUAUUCUACUAAUCAUUGUAACAAUAUAAAUAUUCAUUUUGAUGGAAUACUUUUUGUAAUUUCUAUUUGGUGAACUUAUAACCUAACCCAUAACCAAAUAACUUCAUCAAAAACUAUCUCAACCCCGAGUUUAUUAAAACUCAUUCCACUUCUCGAAUUGAAAGCUAACGAAAUAUGAGAUGUUUAAUGUGUUCUAAUUAGGAUACAUGUGCUAUAAAUAAUAAAAGGAGUUCAUUGACAGGCUGGUAAGAGUGUUGUAUUAUAACAAAGUAGGUUGUGAUUUAAUUCUUUAUAAUGUCUGCAUCUUGGAAUUUUUUUGAAUUCUAGGGGUGUUAGCUGAUGACACCCCUCAUCUUUAGCUAGCUCCGCCACUGAUCAUGAACCCAGUAAAAUGAAUUAGCUAACCUGAUACGUUUGUUGCCACUUUCAGGUAAAUUCCAGACCUCCCUAUAAGUUCUUCAACAUGGAAUAUACAUUCGGUGAUGACCUUCGGGUAGUUGAUGCAGGGGACUGGGGAGUCAAUUUUCUUGAACCAUGGUCUUGUGUUAGUUCCCCGUACUGAGAUUCAACCUCUAAACUGAGAAUACAAUCAUUAAUGUUUUAUCCUUAAUGUUACAGACGUCUAUUUUUGGUGGUUCUCUAAGUUGAAGCCUUGAAGGAAUCAUUAGUUUGUUUCACCCGAAUGGGAAUAUCUUAUUUCAUUGACUGACUUUCCAGCCUAAAUAAACAGAUAACCAGAUGUUAGAAAAGCAUAUUCUACCCUUUGGUGAAGGAGCGAGUUCUCAAAUUGUGGAUCAGCCAGAGAUCGGCAAAAAUUAUCUUGAAGACUAAGAUCGUUUGCACUCUGGGCCGGCCUCCAGAUUCAUUCCCGUGGUAGAGAAUCUCCUCCGCGCUAGUGUUGAAAAGUUCUUGAGAUAUUAAAAAGGGUUCUGGGUUACUCCUAAAUCCAUCCAUCAUCCACAACCAUAAAGACUAGACAAAAUCUGUAAAAUAUCAUAAACUAUUUCAAAAAUAUUGUUUUAGCAUAGUCCUUUUCGAUAUAAAUUGUGUUUCAUUAAUUAUCC
RNAcentral lists this long non-coding RNA (2432 nucleotides) under Linum usitatissimum (flax). RNAcentral's name for it is "long non-coding RNA (LUSI_LNC005894)". The record is from RNAcentral. Lineage: Eukaryota; Viridiplantae; Streptophyta; Magnoliopsida; Malpighiales; Linaceae.